Molecule: non-coding RNA, 138 nt
Organism: Ornithorhynchus anatinus (platypus)
Lineage: Eukaryota; Metazoa; Chordata; Mammalia; Monotremata; Ornithorhynchidae
Source: Rfam
CCCCUCUCAGGGUCACACCUGGAGAGUUUCCAGUAUUCGACCAGUCUCGAUUACAGGAGGGAGAGUCAAGCAGAGGCAUAACUGUUCCAUUUCCAGCUUUGGCAGUGGCUAGCGAGUGGAAGGCAAUCUGCUACAAGU